GGGAGGCAGACACACAUAGCCCAGGUUCCUUAAAAAUAUAAAAACAUGAUAACAUAAAAAUGUAGUUCACUCCAAAUUGCAUGUAGGCAAACAAAUGUUUAUCUUGAAACCCUGUCAUUUACCCUAUAAAUAGGGCCCUCCCGCAGAUGGUCGGCUGGAAGUCUCACCUGAGGGGAGGACUCUGCCAAGGCCUCUUAAUGGGGACUCCCACCUGGCUGUCUCCAGGGGGCUUCCCCAGCUGAUAAGGUUGGAUGUUCAUAUUUUCCUGGGGUCUUUGCCACGAUUUUAGUAUUUUACUUGCUUCUUCAUAUACUCUUACCUGGACAAAAUGACAAGGCAGAAAAUUUCACCACAAAAAAAAAAAAAGAACAAGAGGCAGUACCGAAAGCUAGGGACCUAAUCAAUACAGAUAUUGGUAACAUGUGAGAUCUAGAGUUCAAAUUGACGAUUCUCAAGGUUCUAGCCGGGCUCGUAAAAGACAUGGAAGAUAUUAGAGAAACCCUCACCAGAGAGAUAAAAGCCCUUUCUGGAGAAAUAAAAGAACUAAAAUCUAACCAAGUUGAAAUUUAAAAAGCUAUUAAUGAGGUGCAAUCAAAA
RNAcentral lists this long non-coding RNA (597 nucleotides) under Mustela putorius furo (domestic ferret). Its description in RNAcentral is "lncRNA (ENSMPUG00000029776.1)". The record is from RNAcentral. Lineage: Eukaryota; Metazoa; Chordata; Mammalia; Carnivora; Mustelidae.